ACGCGCGGAACCUUACCAUCCCUUGACUUGGAUAUCGCGGCUCCAGAGAUGGAGCUUUCAGUUCGGCUGGAUAUCACACAGGUGCUGCAUGGCUGUCGUCAGCUCGUGUCGUGAGAUGUUGGGUUAAGUCCCGCAACGAGCGCAACCCGUCGCUGCUAGUUGCCAGCAUUCAGUUGGGCACUCUAGCGGAACCGCCGGUGAUAAGCCGGAGGAAGGUGGGCAUGACGUCAAGUCCUCAUGGCCUUACGGA
This 250-nucleotide ribosomal RNA is filed under the name uncultured bacterium. Its description in RNAcentral is "partial 16S ribosomal RNA". It matches the Rfam family "Bacterial small subunit ribosomal RNA", at positions 959 to 1208 of the family's 1533-position model. The record is from RNAcentral.